This 254-nucleotide ribosomal RNA is filed under the name uncultured bacterium. RNAcentral's name for it is "partial 16S ribosomal RNA". It matches the Rfam family "Bacterial small subunit ribosomal RNA", at positions 524 to 776 of the family's 1533-position model. The record is from RNAcentral.
CACGUAGGGGGCGAGCGUUGUCCGGAUUUAUUGGGCGUAAAGAGCUCGUAGGCGGCUCAGUAAGUCAGGUGUGAAAACUCCAGGCUCAACCUGGAGACGCCACCUGAUACUGCUGUGGCUAGAGUCCGGUAGGGGAGCAUGGAAUUCCUGGUGUAGCGGUGAAAUGCGCAGAUAUGUGGAAGAACACCGGUGGUGAAGACGGUUUUCUGGUCUAUACCUGACGCUGAGGCGCGAAAGCUAGGGGAGCAAACAGG